UAGCUGUAGGGCACACCCAGACCGAGAGUCUGGUUGCUGCAGUAAGGUUUUUUAAAUAGAAACUAGCAUGGUCUCCACUGAGUUAAUUCCUGGAAUUGCAAAUGAAUACACAUUGGCAAAUACAUGGAUGACAUACUUUUCAUAACUCUGCUGUCCAUCUAUCCAGUAAGUCAUAUCAUCAUAGGUGAUCCCUUGUGACCGAGUAUAAUUGUCUUCCAGAAGUAGUCUUGGCAAUGCGUCCAUAAGUGACUGUAGAGAAGAGCUCACUAACUCAUGUGAUACCAACACUGAAACUGAGGACAGUCCUCAAGAUGAACAAAUACCUUCUCCUGGGCUUCUCUGUUCUACUCUUCUGUGCAACUGGUAAGAAGUAAAUGGUAAAGAAAAUGGAAAUAUUUGCAUGUUAUUUUGCAUGAAAGAGGAAAAAUAAAUAGAUGGGCAUCUGUUUGGAUAUGCCAGCCUAAAUAUUAAAGUUUUAGAAAACUGUUUUUUAUGUUGUAUCCACUUUAUCUCCAGACUUAGUGUCCACCCUGAGAUCUUCCCCUGUCUACAACUAACUCAGGUUUGCAGAUUUGAUC
This 578-nucleotide long non-coding RNA is filed under the name Anolis carolinensis (green anole). RNAcentral's name for it is "lncRNA (ENSACAG00000036273.1)". The record is from RNAcentral. Lineage: Eukaryota; Metazoa; Chordata; Lepidosauria; Squamata; Anolidae.